AGGGGCGGAGGAGACGCUUGGGCUUGGUGACUUCCUAGCGCCGCCUGGGGCGGGCUGUGCCCCCGCGCGUCCCCGCGGCCCGGUGAUUGCGGACGGCCGGGAUUUGUGCGUCCCCGGCUAUCUUCUGACAUUGUUCCAGAGUGAUUAAGUUAAGCCUCCUGGGGCCGGCUGGAGAGAGAGGACAAAUUGCUUUGUGAAAUUGAUUUGCUGCCUUAGCAUUUACAGCUCGCCAGGGGUGACGCCAGUGUCAGGGGCCCUUCCUCCGCGCGUGGUGCCCUCCCCUCCCCGCCCACACGGGUCACGGCCGCGUGUCCACGACAGAACGUCAGCACACAUGUCCUUGUCCACUCGUGGUGGACACACAGCGAGUCCUCGGUGCCCCGGGCAGGGCGGAGGGCCCCCCCCAGAGCCCAGCCUGCAGGGUGACUAACCCCAAAUACCCCUGGAGGGGCUGUCCCCUCCCCCCCAGGAGCUGUGGGCACCGCAGAGGCCAGAGCAGGGGGUCUCAAGAUCUGGGUUCGCAGGCUCCCAAGGGAGAGGGGCAGAGCCAGCCAGCCGGGCCCAGGGUCUCCUGCCCCUGGGGCACCUUCCUCCAUUCCUGGGGAAGCAGGUGGGGGCCAUGACACCCCAGGACUCACACGGCUGGGCAGCUGGGGCCAUUCAGGGGAGCAGGGCGCGUCGGGGCAAGGGGGUCUGUCUGGACAGAAAAGUGUUCCUGUGUGUCACCGCCUGGGACAGAAAAAGGACAGGCAGUUCUUUCCUGCCAGGCCAGAGGUGCGUUUCAGAAAGCAUGGGCCGAAAUGGAGACCGCCCGACCUGGUAGAAAGCCAGACAACAGGUGGGAGAGCACUGCGCAGGUGCUCCCUGAGCCCGAGCGUGGGGCACCUGCUGAACACGACUGGACAGUGCAAAGAUUGGGGAGCCUGGCGGUGAGAGGGUAACGCCAGCGUCAUGCUGGGCUGGAACCCGCUCCUCUCUCAGACCGCGUGACCUCAGACAGGUGACCUCACCCCUCUGGGCUGCAUCCAGAGUUACACUGGAUAAGUCCCGUAAAGCUCUUAGAAGGCUGCUGGCCUGUGGAAGAACUCGCAACAGGGUCCCUGACCGGCUCCUGCCGACCUGGGGCACGACGUCUGGCAAGGGAACAAGAAAGGAAACCCAUUGUCCCAGCCCCUGGUACCUCACGGCUGUUUGCAGCCUACUGGAGCACUGCCUGGAGCACCGCCCGGCGAUGCCUCCCCCCUCCCCGCCACGGAGGGCCAGCCUGCCUUCCUGGGUCCUGCCCUCUGGCUCUCUGGCUUCUGUUUCUUCUUUGAGGGCUCAGCAGACACUGUGCCUCUUGAGGAGCUAGGCUAUCACGAUGCCUCUGUCGAGUGGAGGGAUGGCCGGCCAGGCUGCGUUCAGGAAAAGAAAGGUCCUGGGACGCUGUCGGACAAGGAAGCAAAGGGAGGGGGAAGGUCUGCCAAUAAUUGUGCCUCGGUUUCUAAGUCACAGAAUGGGCGUCAAAGAUAACAGCGAUGUGACCUUCAGAGCCACUUAAGUUGCCCGAGACUUGGGUUUUUCCCCAGAAUGACAAUGAUGUCUGCCUCCGGUUUUACACGGGGACACAAAAAUCAUCGGGCAAAGUGCUUUUGGAACGUGGGCUCAGGCACCAGACUACCUGGCUUCCACCUUCCUCAGGAGGCUGAACGCAUGACCUUGGACGAGUUCAUCAUUCUCUCUAGGCCUCAGUUUCCCCACCUAUAAAAUGGGGACGGUCCUAGAAAUCCCAGGCUGAGCAGAUUAGGUAGGACAGUCUCAGCAUCAGCCAGGGCGGGGAAGGCCUCCUCCACGGUCACUCUGCUCAGUAAGAACUCAGGGAGACUCUGAUUGGACUUCUCUGUGGGAAGAGUAGUUACGGGAAACACAAAGUCCCCCAGAAUGAGCACAGUCCUUUAAAAAAAUUUUUUUUAACAUUUUAUUUAUUUUUGAGAGAGCAUGAGCUGGGGAAGGACAGAGAGAGAGGGGGACAGAAGAUCUGAUGCGGACUCUGC
Long non-coding RNA from Felis catus (domestic cat), 2033 nucleotides. RefSeq lists it as uncharacterized. The record is from RefSeq and is a predicted model, not a curated record. The transcript has 3 exons. Lineage: Eukaryota; Metazoa; Chordata; Mammalia; Carnivora; Felidae.